AUGGACCUACGUGACCGAGGACACUCAACUAAGGCACGGAGAACCCUAAAAGCGUUCCAAAUAAAGAAAGACACCAAGCCAACUAAGACCAGCGAGGAUACAUCCAACUCCACCAUAUUGAAGGCUCGGAAUCAACAACAAACUUCGAUGCAGGCAAUUUUCAAACAAGCAGUUAAGAAAUCCCUGGAGGAACUGCUUUUUGGGAUAAAUUAAAUCACUUAAGGAUAUGGUGGAAGCCUCCAACACGUCUAUCAUUAAACUCUUAAACAACAUUGCCAGCCAAUCUGUCACAUGCAAGUCUCUGGAGCGUGUUGAGAUGCAGGUUAGCGCCAGGGCAACUACAGAUGACAUAGCCAGCCAAGUCUCUGGAGCGUGUUGCGAUGCAGGUUAGCGCCAGGGCAACUACAGAUGACAUAGCCAGCCAAGUCUCUGGAGCGUGUUGAGAUGCAGGUUAGCGCCAGGGCAACUACAGAUGACAUAGCCAGCCAAGUCUCUGGAGCGUGUUGAGAUGCAGGUUAGCGCCAGGGCAACUACAGAUGACAUAGCCAGCCAAGUCUCUGGAGCGUGUUGAGAUGCAGGUUAGCGCCAGGGCAACUACAGAUGACAUAGCCAGCCAAGUCUCUGGAGCGUGUUGAGAUGCAGGUUAGCGCCAGGGCAACUACAGAUGACAUAGCCAGCCAAGUCUCUGGAGCGUGUUGAGAUGCAGGUUAGCGCCAGGGCAACUACGGAUGACAUAGCCACCUGCCGAGAUGCGGUGAAGCAACUGCGGGAGAAAAUGACGUCGCUAUAACGAAACAGGAGUAGACCCAGAUGCAGACACAGGACGCAGAUGGUUCGAGUCUCAGAGAUGUAAUAUAUACAAGGGGUAGGCAAAUGGCAGGUCCAGGUCAUGCAGAGAUCAGUAAUCCUAAUAAGAGUCAGGCAGGCGAAGAACGGCAGGCUCAGGAUCAGGAACGCCAACAGUGGCGGACGAACAUCUGGGCCGAGGGCAUGUUGACUUCUUCCUCUUCCUCAGGGA
This is a long non-coding RNA of Oncorhynchus keta (chum salmon), 1018 nucleotides long. RefSeq lists it as uncharacterized. The transcript is spliced from 3 exons. Lineage: Eukaryota; Metazoa; Chordata; Actinopteri; Salmoniformes; Salmonidae. The record is from RefSeq and is a predicted model, not a curated record.